CCUAACACAUGCAAGUCGUGCGCGAAAGGGGCUUCGGCCCUGAGUAGAGCGGCAAACGGGUGAGUAACGCGUGGGUGACCUACCCUCGAGUGGGGGAUAACAGUCCGAAAGGAUUGCUAAUACCGCAUGACAUCCUGUCCUUGGACGGAUGGAGAUCAAAGCCGGGGAUCGCAAGACCUGGCGCUUGAGGAGGGGCCCGCGUUCGAUUAGCUAGUUGGUGAGGUAACGGCUCACCAAGGCGACGAUCGAUAGCCGGCCUGAGAGGGCGGACGGCCACACUGGGACUGAGACACGGCCCAGACUCCUACGGGAGGCAGCAGUGGGGAAUUGUUCGCAAUGGGCGCAAGCCUGACGACGCAACGCCGCGUGGAGGAUGAAGAUCUUCGGGUCGUAAACUCCUGUCGACCGGGACGAAAUUCAUCGGAGCGAAUAUCUCCGGUGAUUGACGGUACCGGUGGAGGAAGCCCCGGCUAACUCCGUGCCAGCAGCCGCGGUAAUACGGGGGGGGCAAGCGUUGUUCGGAAUUACUGGGCGUAAAGGGCUCGUAGGCGGCCGUUUUAGUCCGACGUGAAAUCCCACGGCUCAACCGUGGAACUGCGUCGGAUACUGAAUGGCUUGAAUCCAAGAGAGGGAUGCGGAAUUCCAGGUGUAGCGGUGAAAUGCGUAGAUAUCUGGAGGAACACCGGUGGCGAAGGCGGCAUCCUGGAUUGGCAUUGACGCUGAGGAGCGAAAGCCAGGGGAGCAAACGGGAUUAGAUACCCCGGUAGUCCUGGCCCUAAACGAUGAAUGCUUGGUGUGGUGGGUAUCGAUCCCCGCCGUGCCGAAGCUAACGCAUUAAAGCAUUCCGCCUG
Molecule: ribosomal RNA, 851 nt
Filed under: uncultured Acidobacteriota bacterium
Lineage: Bacteria; Pseudomonadati; Acidobacteriota
Description: bacterial SSU rRNA
Rfam family: Bacterial small subunit ribosomal RNA
Source: RNAcentral